UACGAAGGGGGCUAGCGUUGCUCGGAAUCACUGGGCGUAAAGCGCACGUAGGCGGGUCUUUAAGUCAGGGGUGAAAUCCCGGAGCUCAACUCCGGAACUGCCUUUGAUACUGGAGAUCUUGAGUCCGGGAGAGGUGAGUGGAACUCCGGGUGUAGAGGUGAAAUUCGUAGAUAUUCGGAAGAACACCAGUGGCGAAGGCGGCUCACUGGCCCGGUACUGACGCUGAGGUGCGAAAGCGUGGGGAGCAAACAGG
Molecule: ribosomal RNA, 253 nt
Filed under: uncultured bacterium
Lineage: Bacteria
Description: partial 16S ribosomal RNA
Rfam family: Bacterial small subunit ribosomal RNA
Source: RNAcentral